UGGGUUUGACAUACACCGGAAACGGCCAGAGAUGGUCGCCCCCUUGUGGUCGGUGUACAGGUGGUGCAUGGCUGUCGUCAGCUCGUGUCGUGAGAUGUUGGGUUAAGUCCCGCAACGAGCGCAACCCUUGUUCUGUGUUGCCAGCAUGCCUUUCGGGGUGAUGGGGACUCACAGGAGACUGCCGGGGUCAACUCGGAGGAAGGUGGGGAUGACGUCUCUAGGAGGGUG
This 228-nucleotide unclassified non-coding RNA is filed under the name uncultured Actinomycetes bacterium. Its description in RNAcentral is "uncultured actinobacterium contains 16S-23S intergenic spacer region". It matches the Rfam family "Bacterial small subunit ribosomal RNA", at positions 976 to 1195 of the family's 1533-position model. The record is from RNAcentral. Lineage: Bacteria; Bacillati; Actinomycetota; Actinomycetes.